This 638-nucleotide ribosomal RNA is filed under the name uncultured fungus. Its description in RNAcentral is "eukaryotic LSU rRNA". The stretch from base 202 to 355 matches the Rfam family "5.8S ribosomal RNA". Lineage: Eukaryota; Fungi. The record is from RNAcentral.
GGAAGGAUCAUUAACGAAUUGUAAAGGAGGUUGAUGCUGGCUUUUUAUUAGGCAUGUGCUCGCCUCCGACAAUCCUUAUCCAUACACCUGUGCACCUCUGAGGGGUUUUUACCGUCUGGUUUUGAACCCCUCUUUUUUAUCACAAACCCUUUCUUGUAACAUCGAACGUGAAUUAGUGCCGUUAAGGCCUUAAACAAAUACAACUUUUAACAACGGAUCUCUUGGCUCUCGCAUCGAUGAAGAACGCAGCGAAUUGCGAUAAGUAAUGUGAAUUGCAGAAUUCAGUGAAUCAUCGAAUCUUUGAACGCACCUUGCGCUCCCUGGUAUUCCGGGGAGCACGCCUGUUCGAGUGUCGUGAAAUUCUCAAGCUGGGAUGGCUUUAUUGUCUGUCUUCAGUUUGGAUUUGGACUUUGCUGUGUUACUACAGCUAGUCUUAAAAGCAUUAGCUGAAUCUUGGUAUGGGAUUGGUUCUACUCAGCGUGAUAAUUAUCUGACCGCUGAGGACAUCUUUCGGGACGGCCAGACUUGUCCUCGAGUCGCUUCUAAUCUGGUUAACGAAGCUUAAUUGCUAGUUCCAUUUUUCAACUUUGACCUCGAAUCAGGCGGGACUACCCGCUGAACUUAAGCAUAUCAAUAAG